RNAcentral lists this ribosomal RNA (675 nucleotides) under uncultured bacterium. RNAcentral describes it as "bacterial SSU rRNA". It matches the Rfam family "Bacterial small subunit ribosomal RNA", at positions 72 to 762 of the family's 1533-position model. The record is from RNAcentral.
GUUAUAGCUUGCUAUAAUUGUCAGCUAAGUGGCGCACGGGUGAGUAAUGUAUAGGUAAUAUGCCUCUUACUAAGGGAUAACAAAUGGAAACGUUUGCUAAUACCUUAUACUCCUUAUUAACAUAAGUUAAUAAGGGAAAGAUUUAUUGGUAAGAGAUUAGCCUGUAUUGUAUCAGUUAGUUGGUGGGGUAAUGGCUUACCAAGACUAUGACACAUAACUGGUUUGAGAGGAUGAUCAGUCACACUGGAACUGAGACACGGUCCAGACUCCUACGGGAGGCAGCAGUGGGGAAUAUUGCANCAUGGACGAAAGUCUGAUGCAGCAACGCCGCGUGGAGGAUGACACAUUUCGGUGCGUAGACUCCUUUUAUAUGAGAAGAUAAUGACGGUAUUAUAUGAAUAAGCACCGGCUAACUCCGUGCCAGCAGCCGCGGUAAUACGGGGGGUGCAAGCGUUACUCGGAAUCACUGGGCGUAAAGAGCAUGUAGGCGGAUUAAUAAGUUUGAAGUGAAAUCCUAUAGCUUAACUAUAGAACUGCUUUGAAAACUGUUAAUCUAGAAUGUGGGAGAGGUAGAUGGAAUUUCUGGUGUAGGGGUAAAAUCCGUAGAGAUCAGAAGGAAUACCGAUUGCGAAGGCGAUCUACUGGAACAUUAUUGACGCUGAGAUGCGAAAGCGU